GAUGAACGCUAGCGGCAGGCUUGACACAUGCAAGUCGAGGGGUAGGGAAAGCUUGCUUUUCUGAGACCGGCGCACGGGUGCGUAACGCGUAUGCAAUCUACCUUUCACAGAGGGAUAGCCCAGAGAAAUUUGGAUUAAUACCUCAUAGUAAUACGACUUGGCAUCAAGAUGUAUUUAAAGACUUAUCGGUGAGAGAUGAGCAUGCGUCCCAUUAGCUAGUUGGUAUGGUAACGGCAUACCAAGGCAACGAUGGGUAGGGGUCCUGAGAGGGAGAUCCCCCACACUGGUACUGAGACACGGACCAGACUCCUACGGGAGGCAGCAGUGAGGAAUAUUGGACAAUGGGCGCAAGCCUGAUCCAGCCAUGCCGCGUGCAGGAUGACGGUCCUAUGGAUUGUAAACCGCUUUUAUACAGGAAGAAACACCUCUACGUGUAGAGACUUGACGGUACUGUAAGAAUAAGGAUCGGCUAACUCCGUGCCAGCAGCCGCGGUAAUACGGAGGAUCCAAGCGUUAUCCGGAAUCAUUGGGUUUAAAGGGUCCGUAGGCGGUCAGGUAAGUCAGUGGCGAAAGCCCAUCGCUCAACGGUGGAACGGCCAUUGAUACUGUCUGACUUGAAUUAUUAGGAAGUAACUAGAAUAUGUAGUGUAGCGGUGAAAUGCUUAGAGAUUACAUGGAAUACCAAUUGCGAAGGCAGGUUACUACUAAUUGAUUGACGCUGAUGGACGAAAGCGUGGGUAGCGAACAGGAUUAGAUACCCUGGUAGUCCACGCCGUAAACGAUGGAUACUAGCUGUUGGGAGCAAUCUCAGUGGCUAAGCGAAAGUGAUAAGUAUCCCACCUGGGGAGUACGAACGCAAGUUUGAAACUCAAAGGAAUUGACGGGGGCCCGCACAAGCGGUGGAGCAUGUGGUUUAAUUCGAUGAUACGCGAGGAACCUUACCAAGGCUUAAAUGUAGAUUGACCGUUUGGAAACAGAACU
This 981-nucleotide ribosomal RNA is filed under the name uncultured bacterium. Its description in RNAcentral is "bacterial SSU rRNA". It matches the Rfam family "Bacterial small subunit ribosomal RNA", at positions 28 to 1013 of the family's 1533-position model. The record is from RNAcentral.